This 253-nucleotide ribosomal RNA is filed under the name uncultured bacterium. RNAcentral describes it as "partial 16S ribosomal RNA". It matches the Rfam family "Bacterial small subunit ribosomal RNA", at positions 524 to 776 of the family's 1533-position model. The record is from RNAcentral.
UACAUAGGGGUCAAGCGUUGUCCGGAUUUAUUGGGCGUAAAGAGUAUGUAGGCGGCUGGAUAAGUCAAGCGUGUAAGCCCACGGCUCAACCGUGGAAUUGCGUUUGAAACUAUUCAGCUUGAGUGCAGGAGAGGAAGGCGGAAUUCCCAGUGUAGCGGUGAAAUGCAUUGAUAUUGGGAAGAACACCGGUGGCGAAGGCGGCCUUCUGGUCUGUUACUGACGCUGAGAUACGAAAGCCAGGGGAGCAAAGGGG